Hydra vulgaris (swiftwater hydra) is the source of this 2063-nucleotide long non-coding RNA. RefSeq lists it as uncharacterized. Lineage: Eukaryota; Metazoa; Cnidaria; Hydrozoa; Anthoathecata; Hydridae. The record is from RefSeq and is a predicted model, not a curated record.
UUUAGAUAAGAAUUGAUGAAGUUAUAACAGUUUAAGUAAAAAAAAAUUUAGUUUUGACCUCAAUUUCUUCAUAUAUCAAAAAUUUUUGAAUUGUUUGAUUUUGAUAACUUUUCACUUUUAAAAUACUGGAUUAAUACUCCUUCCAACAAUAUGUAACGAUCUAAUUUUUCAACUUUAAAAAUUUCAUGUUACACUGUGACAGUGUAAAAACUUUGGACAGUGACUGUCCAAACUUUUUUUUUCUAAACACAUUGGCUCACUUUGGAAUUAAUGUGAGCCGUAACUAUAGGCAUAAUUUCAAAAAAAUUGGACAAUAUGGAUUUUUAAUAAUUUUGUGAAAUCACCUUGAAGUUUUAUAUUGUUUGUAUUUUUUCUCAAAAAUUCAAGACUUAAAUAUUUUACGAUAUAACCUGAUAAGUCUGUCCAAACAUCAGUUGAUAAAACCUUGAUUAAGUCUGUCCAAACAUCAGCUUUAAAGUUCAUAACUUUAAGGGCAUAACUUUCUUAGCUUUUGAUUUUAGACGUUAAAUCUGGAUCAAUUUCCCUGGGUAAUAUAAUCUACAGGAUUUAAUUAAGAGCACAAUCUUUUACAAAUUUUUCAUCAUCUAGUAACAUAGCAUAAAGAAAUUUUUCUUGACAGUAGCAGUAGAAGUUACUCUAAUCUGAUUUUUCAAUACAAUCUUUUGAAUUCUGUUAUCUUGUUUUUUGAAUAAUUUUAAUGUUUAAUGAAGAAAUUUUAAUGAAUCUUAGUAAUGCAGCAAACAAUUUUAAUAAAUAUUUUGCAGCAAACCACAAAACAAUAGUAAGUCUGAAUUAUGUACUUUGUGAUGCAGUUUAAAUCAUGUGUAGAUAUCUCAGUUCAUGUAUAAAUCAUUUUUUUUAAACUAAAAGUUAGCACCGUGCAUAGCAAACUAGAUUGGGUUUCUUGUUGGCAUCCUUUGUAGAAACAGAACCUUAAGCUAUUCUAAUAUAAUACUUAUAAAGUUUACGCCAGUCUAUACUCAAACCACAAACAAUGUCGGUUUUCACAUACUCAAUUCUAUCUCAUAAUCUAUGGGAACAAACUGAAUUAAAAGUUGUUUAUUCAUAAAUAAGUUAGAUGCUUGUUCACCAAUAAGGUCUUUAUACUUUAUAGGGUAAUUUGUUUUUCCAUCUAUUUCAGAUAUAACAUGGCGAAGUGGUAGCUAACACAUGUGAAGUAAACAAUCAGAUUGUAGACUAUCUACUAAAAGAAGGCUACGUUUUAAAGGCUUUUCUAAUUUUACAGCAGUUUUAAAUUAUCUAGACCAGUGUUAGCACAUGUAUUGUCACGAACAAUCGCUUCUAAGUUUAAUAAAUGUUUAACAAAGGACACGAAGGCCACUAAAACUGAGUAUACAUUAACAAAUUUUUUUACUGAAAUGUUAAAUUGUAUCAAGUGCUGGACAAGUUAGACCAAAAUUGUAUUAACUUGAACAGAGCAGUAUAGCAAGACAUUUCUUAAACAUCAAGACAGACGAUGCAGUGAUCAUCAGUGAUGGAGUGAAAUAUUUGUAUUAGGAUGCGAAGAAAUUACAAACGAAUAUCAAGUCAGUUAGAGCCUAAUGCUCAUGCAAUUAAAGCUGCUAUGGCAACCCUUUGAAUCUGAUAGUUAUUCACUCUGAGCAAUAUAUAGCAGUAUAAUAUUUUAAAUCAAAUUAACUGCGGAAAAUGAGUUUCAAUAAACUGGUCACUUUGCUUAUUAUUCGACAAACAACCUUUGUCACCUUAUAAAAGCAGGAGGAAAAAUGUUAGAGAAAAUACAAAAAAUGUUAUGGUCAGAAUUAUGGAGCAUCAUGUGAAGCCUAGGUUCAAUAUGAAAAGCAAAAUUUGUGGUGAUAUAAAGAAGGUAUCGUUCGAAGAUAAAAAGUUGUGUAAAGCAAUAAUUUUGAAGUCAUCCAGCGCGAGAGUUCGACGAAAACAAACAACAGAUCAAAUAGAAAGCGUUUUAAAGUUCUCUCCAUUGAACAAUUAUUUAUUUUUGAGUUUUUUUGUAAAUUUAUAAUACAAAAGAAUAUAUAAUACAUCUUUAAAAAAAAUCUUUA